UGCAGGAUAAGCUGAGGGAGACAGAGAUGGUAAUGGAGAGGAUUGUCUAAAGCCAGCUGCAGGAUAAGCUGGAGGGAGACAGAGAUGGUAAUGGAGAGGAUUGUCUAAAGCCAGCUGCAGGAUAAGCGGAGGGAGACAGAGAUGGUAAUGGAGAGGAUUGUCUAAAGCCAGCUGCAGGAUAAGCUGAGGGAGACAGAGAUGGUAAUGGAGAGGAUUGUCUAAAGCCAGCUGCAGGAUAAGCUGAGGGAGACAGAGAUGGUAAUGGAGAGGAUUGUCUAAAGCCAGCUGCAGCUCUAAAAGGGUGACAUGGGGAGUGCCGACCAAGAGGAGAGACUGCUUCUCCAGCUGAGAGAGAUCACACGGGUGAUGCAGGAGGGCCGCCAGGCGGAGGGGGUCACCCCACCAGAGAUGGGGGCCCAACACUGGGAAGCUAUUGUUAUAUGGGGAUACUUCUUUUGUGCUUAUUUAAUGGUUGUCACACCACGGUGGCACUUAUUGCUUAUAUGGCAUCAUUAAAGACUUGUCUGAAUAUGUCAUCCACAAUCAACAAUAUGGGAACUCACUCUACAUACUUAGAUGAAGUUGUGUGGAAAAAGGAAUGGGGUGGUGAAAUAAUUUGUCAUGGACAAAGGAUCUCAAAGGGUGUGAUGAUAUUAAUUAACAAAGAUUUUGAUCUGAAUCUGCAAAUAGUCAGGAAUGAUUCGCAAGGAAGGUGGAUCCUUUUGAAUAAGAAAGUGGACGAAAAAGAGAUUUGACUCACUAAUCUAUAUGGUCCAAAUCAGGAUGAUCCACACUUCUUCGAAAACAUUUAUACCAAUUUAUUGAACUUACAGACAACAAAUGAUCUAAUCAUUAUGGUAGGAGACUAUAACACAGUGUUAAGUACCUCAAUGGACCGUAAAGGUAAUCACUCCACAAACAAUCAUCACCGUGCCCUUAAGGAAAUCACAAAUAUUAUGGACACAUUAGAAAUAGUGGA
This is a long non-coding RNA of Oncorhynchus keta (chum salmon), 979 nucleotides long. RefSeq lists it as uncharacterized. The transcript is spliced from 3 exons. The record is from RefSeq and is a predicted model, not a curated record. NCBI's taxonomy places the organism in Eukaryota, Metazoa, Chordata, Actinopteri, Salmoniformes, Salmonidae.